This 116-nucleotide ribosomal RNA is filed under the name uncultured bacterium. RNAcentral's name for it is "partial 16S ribosomal RNA". The record is from RNAcentral.
CCCUUGUACACAACCGCCCGGUCACGCCAUGGAAUUGGGGGGACCUGAAGCCGGUGGGCCUAACCCCGCGAAGGGGAGGCAGGCCCGUACAAAAGGUCAAUCCAAUGACUGGGGCG